CAGCACAGGUAGCAAUACUGGGUGGCGACCGGCAAACGGGUGCGGAACACGUACGCAACCUUCCCAGAACAGGUGAAUAGCCCUCCGAAAGGAGGAUUAAUACACCGUAAGAUAUAGAGAUGGCAUCAUUUUUAUAUAAUAGGCAGCAAUGUCGGUUUUGGAUGGGCGUGCGGCUGAUUAGGUAGUUGGCGGGGUAACGGCCCACCAAGCCUCCGAUCAGUAACUGGUGUGAGAGCACGACCAGUCACACGGGCACUGAGACACGGGCCCGACUCCUACGGGAGGCAGCAGUAAGGAAUAUUGGUCAAUGGACGCAAGUCUGAACCAGCCAUGCCGCGUGAAGGAUGAAGGCCCUCUGGGUUGUAAACUUCUUUUAUCUGGGACGAAAAAAGGGGAUUCUCCCUCACUUGACGGUACCAGAGGAAUAAGCACCGGCUAACUCCGUGCCAGCAGCCGCGGUAAUACGGAGGGUGCAAGCGUUAUCCGGAUUUACUGGGUUUAAAGGGUGCGUAGGUGGGCAGGUAAGUCAGUGGUGAAAUCUUCAAGCUUAACUUGGAAACUGCCAUUGAUACUAUUUGUCUUGAAUUAUCUGGAGGUAAGCGGAAUAUGUCAUGUAGCGGUGAAAUGCUUAGAUAUGACAUAGAACACCCAUUGCGAAGGCAGCUUACUACGGAUAUAUAGACACUGAGGCACGAAAGCGUGGGGAUCAAACAGGAUUAGAUACCCUGGUAGUCCACGCCCUAAACGAUGGAUACUCGACAUCAGCGAUACACAGUUGGUGUCUGAGCGAAAGCAUUAAGUAU
Molecule: ribosomal RNA, 803 nt
Filed under: uncultured Flavobacteriia bacterium
Lineage: Bacteria; Pseudomonadati; Bacteroidota; Flavobacteriia
Description: bacterial SSU rRNA
Rfam family: Bacterial small subunit ribosomal RNA
Source: RNAcentral